This 539-nucleotide ribosomal RNA is filed under the name uncultured eukaryote. Its description in RNAcentral is "SSU rRNA". It matches the Rfam family "Eukaryotic small subunit ribosomal RNA", at positions 585 to 1119 of the family's 1831-position model. The record is from RNAcentral.
CCAGCUCCAAUAGCGUAUAUUAAAGGUUGUGCAAGUUAAAAAGCUCGUAGUUGGAUUUCUGGUCGGAGCGAUCGGUCCGCCUCAUUCGGGGUGUGUACUUGUGUCGUCUCCAGCCAUCCUUGAGGAGAACUGUCCUGGCAUUGAGUUGUUGGGGCAGGGAACCUCAUCUUUUACUGUGAAAAAAAUUAGAGUGUUUAAAGCAGGCUUACGCCGUUGAAUACAUUAGCAUGGAAUAAUAAGAUAGGACUUUGGCGGUCUAUUUUGUUGGUUUGCACGCCGAGGUAAUGAUUAAUAGGGAUAGUUGGGGGUAUUCGUAUUUAAUUGUCAGAGGUGAAAUUCUUGGAUUUCUGAAAGACGAACUACUGCGAAAGCAUUUACCAAGGAUGUUUUCAUUAAUCAAGAACGAAAGUUAGGGGAUCGAAGAUGAUUAGAUACCAUCGUAGUCUUAACCAUAAACUAUGCCGACUCGGGAUUGGCGGGCGUUCUCUUUAUGACUCCGUCAGCACCGUAUGAGAAAUCAAAGUCUUUGGGUUCCGGGG